UACGGAGGGGGCUAGCGCUGUUCGGAAUUACUGGGCGUAAAGGGCGCGUAGGCGGGCUGAUAAGUCGGAGGUGAAAGCCCGGGGCUCAACCCCGGAAUUGCCUUCGAGACUGGCAGGCUCGAGGUCGAAAGAGGCGAGUGGAAUACCCAGUGUAGAGGUGAAAUUCGUAGAUAUUGGGUGGAACACCAGUGGCGAAAGCGGCUCUCUGGUUCGAAUCUGACGCUGAGGAGCGAAAGCGUGGGGAGCAAACAGG
This 253-nucleotide ribosomal RNA is filed under the name uncultured bacterium. RNAcentral describes it as "partial 16S ribosomal RNA". It matches the Rfam family "Bacterial small subunit ribosomal RNA", at positions 524 to 776 of the family's 1533-position model. The record is from RNAcentral.